GAUGAACGCUGGCGGCGUGCCUAAUACAUGCAAGUCGAGCGAACAGACGAGGAGCUUGCUCCUUUGGCGUUAGCGGCGGACGGGUGAGUAACACGUAGGUAACCUACCUAUAAGACUGGGAUAACUUCGGGAAACCGGAGCUAAUACCGGAUAAUAUUUCGAACCGCAUGGUUCGAUAGUGAAAGAUGGCUUUGCUAUCACUUAUAGAUGGACCUGCGCCGUAUUAGCUAGUUGGUAAGGUAACGGCUUACCAAGGCAACGAUACGUAUCCGACCUGAUAGGGUGAACGGCCAAACUGGAAAUGGAACACGGUCCAGAAUCCUACGGGAGGCAGCAGUAGGGAAUCUUCCGCAAUGGGCGAAAGCCUGACGGAGCAACGCCGCGUGAGUGAUGAAGGUCUUCGGAUCGUAAAACUCUGUUAUUAGGGAAGAACAAACGUGUAAGUAACUGUGCACGUCUUGACGGUACCUAAUCAGAAAGCCACGGCUAACUACGUG
RNAcentral lists this ribosomal RNA (497 nucleotides) under uncultured bacterium. Its description in RNAcentral is "partial 16S ribosomal RNA". It matches the Rfam family "Bacterial small subunit ribosomal RNA", at positions 28 to 507 of the family's 1533-position model. The record is from RNAcentral.